CCUUCGAUAGCUCAGUUGGUAGAGCGGUGGACUGUAGAGAGAGAGAUGAACGCAGACAGUAGAAAUCCAUAGGUCACUGGUUCAAAUCCGGUUCGAAGGA
RNAcentral lists this transfer RNA (100 nucleotides) under Anopheles merus. RNAcentral's name for it is "tRNA tRNA-Tyr". It matches the Rfam family "tRNA". Rfam says of the family: Transfer RNA (tRNA) molecules are approximately 80 nucleotides in length. Their secondary structure includes four short double-helical elements and three loops (D, anti-codon, and T loops). Further hydrogen bonds mediate the characteristic L-shaped molecular structure. tRNAs have two regions of fundamental functional importance: the anti-codon, which is responsible for specific mRNA codon recognition, and the 3' end, to which the tRNAs corresponding amino acid is attached (by aminoacyl-tRNA synthetases). tRNAs cope with the degeneracy of the genetic code in two manners: having more than one tRNA (with a specific anti-codon) for a particular amino acid; and 'wobble' base-pairing, i.e. permitting non-standard base-pairing at the 3rd anti-codon position. The record is from RNAcentral. Lineage: Eukaryota; Metazoa; Arthropoda; Insecta; Diptera; Culicidae.